AAACCACAUACGCAGUGGAGCUCCGGGACAAUUAUCAACUUUCCAGUUUUCUAUGGAUAUGAAGAUUUACUCCUAGUCAUCAGUGGGACCCCCAUGAAGU
Molecule: small RNA, 100 nt
Filed under: Pan troglodytes (chimpanzee)
Lineage: Eukaryota; Metazoa; Chordata; Mammalia; Primates; Hominidae
Also listed under: 1 other name
Description: processed transcript
Source: RNAcentral